Molecule: ribosomal RNA, 910 nt
Filed under: uncultured bacterium
Lineage: Bacteria
Description: bacterial SSU rRNA
Rfam family: Bacterial small subunit ribosomal RNA
Source: RNAcentral
ACGCUAGCUACAGGCUUAACACAUGCAAGUCGAGGGGAAACGGCAUUAAGUGCUUGCACUUUUUGGACGUCGACCGGCGCACGGGUGAGUAACGCGUAUCCAACCUUCCCAUGACUAAGGGAUAACCUGCCGAAAGGCAGACUAAUACCUUAUGGUCUUCACUGACGGCAUCAGAUGUGAAGUAAAGAUUUAUCGGUUAUGGAUGGGGAUGCGUCUGAUUAGCUUGUUGGCGGGGUAACGGCCCACCAAGGCAACGAUCAGUAGGGGUUCUGAGAGGAAGGUCCCCCACAUUGGAACUGAGACACGGUCCAAACUCCUACGGGAGGCAGCAGUGAGGAAUAUUGGUCAAUGGGCGAGAGCCUGAACCAGCCAAGUAGCGUGCAGGAUGACGGCCCUAUGGGUUGUAAACUGCUUUUGUAUGGGGAUAAAGUCAAUCACGUGUGAUUGUUUGCAGGUACCAUACGAAUAAGGACCGGCUAAUUCCGUGCCAGCAGCCGCGGUAAUACGGAAGGUCCGGGCGUUAUCCGGAUUUAUUGGGUUUAAAGGGAGCGUAGGCUGGAGAUUAAGUGUGUUGUGAAAUGUAGACGCUCAACGUCUGACUUGCAGCGCAUACUGGUUUCCUUGAGUACGCACAACGUUGGCGGAAUUCGUCGUGUAGCGGUGAAAUGCUUAGAUAUGACGAAGAACUCCGAUUGCGAAGGCAGCUGACGGGAGCGCAACUGACGCUGAAGCUCGAAGGUGCGGGUAUCGAACAGGAUUAGAUACCCUGGUAGUCCGCACAGUAAACGAUGGAUGCCCGCUGUUGGUACCUGGUAUCAGCGGCUAAGCGAAAGCAUUAAGCAUCCCACCUGGGGAGUACGCCGGCAACGGUGAAACUCAAAGGAAUUGACGGGGGCCCGCACAAGCGGAG